This 62-nucleotide transfer RNA is filed under the name Orthomeria smaragdinum. RNAcentral's name for it is "tRNA-Thr". The record is from RNAcentral. Lineage: Eukaryota; Metazoa; Arthropoda; Insecta; Phasmatodea; Aschiphasmatidae.
GUUUUAAUAAUUUAAAUAAAAUAUUGGUUUUGUAAACUAAAAAUGAUAUUGAUCUUAAAACU